GAUGAACGCUGGCGGCGUGCCUAAUACAUGCAAGUCGAGCGAACAGACGAGGAGCUUGCUCCUUUGACGUUAGCGGCGGACGGGUGAGUAACACGUGGGUAACCUACCUAUAAGACUGGGAUAACUUCGGGAAACCGGAGCUAAUACCGGAUAAUAUUUCGAACCGCAUGGUUCGAUAGUGAAAGAUGGCUUUGCUAUCACUUAUAGAUGGACCUGCGCCGUAUGAGCUAGUUGGUAAGGUAACGGCUUACCAAGGCAACGAUACGUAGCCGACCUGAGAGGGUGGUCGGCCACACUGGAACUGAGACACGGUCCAGACUCCUACGGGAGGCAGCAGUAGGGAAUCUUCCGCAAUGGGCGAAAGCCUGACGGAGCAACGCCGCGUGAGUGAUGAAGGUCUUCGGAUCGUAAAACUCUGUUAUUAGGGAAGAACAAACGUGUAAGUAACUGUGCACGUCUUGACGGUACCUAAUCAGAAAGCCACGGCUAACUACGUG
RNAcentral lists this ribosomal RNA (497 nucleotides) under uncultured bacterium. RNAcentral describes it as "partial 16S ribosomal RNA". It matches the Rfam family "Bacterial small subunit ribosomal RNA", at positions 28 to 507 of the family's 1533-position model. The record is from RNAcentral.